GACAGAGAGAGAGCUCUUUCUCGAUUCGGUGGGUGGUGGUGCAUGGCCGUUCUUAGUUGGUGGAGCGAUUUGUCUGGUUAAUUCCGAUAACGAACGAGACUCUAUCCUGCUAAAUAGGUGGCGGGUUUCUAUGCCCUGAGUCGGCGGCGCGGGCGCAAGUCCGUACCGUCGUCGAAGGGAAACUUGGGUGCGGCGGCCGACGGGAUCAGGGCUCGGUGUGUGUCGGUGUCGGGCGGCGUGGGUAAAACCGCGUCGUUCGGUGCCGAUGCGCGCCGGACUCCCCCGUUGUAACCGCCGUACUCGCGCCCGUCACGUCUCUUCUUAGAGGGACAAGCGGCGUCCAGCCGCGUGACAGUGAGCAAUAACAGGUCUGUGAUGCCCUUAGAUGUCCUGGGCCGCACGCGCGCUACACUGAAGGAAUCAGCGUGUUUCAAUCUCCCUGUCCGAAAGGACCGGGUAACCGCUGAACCUCCUUCGUGG
This 480-nucleotide ribosomal RNA is filed under the name Ilyocryptus sp. Its description in RNAcentral is "SSU rRNA". It matches the Rfam family "Eukaryotic small subunit ribosomal RNA", at positions 1242 to 1570 of the family's 1831-position model. The record is from RNAcentral. Lineage: Eukaryota; Metazoa; Arthropoda; Branchiopoda; Diplostraca; Macrotrichidae.